Molecule: ribosomal RNA, 163 nt
Filed under: uncultured bacterium
Lineage: Bacteria
Description: partial 16S rRNA
Rfam family: Bacterial small subunit ribosomal RNA
Source: RNAcentral
UAGGGAAUCUUCCACAAUGGACGCAAGUCUGAUGGAGCAACGCCGCGUGAGUGAAGAAGAUCUUCGGAUCGUAAACUCUGUUGUUAGAGAAGAACACGAGUGAGAGUAACUGUUCAUUCGAUGACGGUAUCUAACCAGCAAGUCACGGCUAACUACGUGCAAG